This 253-nucleotide ribosomal RNA is filed under the name uncultured bacterium. Its description in RNAcentral is "partial 16S ribosomal RNA". It matches the Rfam family "Bacterial small subunit ribosomal RNA", at positions 524 to 776 of the family's 1533-position model. The record is from RNAcentral.
GACAGAGGGGGCGAGCGUUGUCCGAAGUUACUGGGCGUAAAGCGCGCGUAGGCGGCCUCUUAAGUUGGGUGUGAAAUCCUGCGGCCCAACCGCAGAACUGCAUCCAAAACUGGGAGGCUUGAGGACGGAAGAGGGCAGUGGAAUUCCUGGUGUAGCGGUGAAAUGCGUAGAUAUCAGGAGGAACACCCGUGGCGAAGGCGGCUGCCUGGUCCGUAUCUGACGCUGAGGUGCGACAGCCAGGGGAGCUAACGGG